UACGUAGGUGGCAAGCGUUGUCCGGAUUUACUGGGCGUAAAGGGCGUGCAGGCGGUUUGUUAAGGUCAGGGUGAAAGCUCCCGGCUCAACUGGGAGAGGUCCUUGGAUACUGGCAGACUUGAGGAGGGUAGAGGUGAGUGGAAUUCCGAGUGUAGAGGUGAAAUUCGUAGAUAUUCGGAGGAACACCAGUGGCGAAGGCGGCUCACUGGUCCAUUACUGACGCUGAGGUGCGAAAGCGUGGGGAGCAAACAGG
Molecule: ribosomal RNA, 253 nt
Filed under: uncultured bacterium
Lineage: Bacteria
Description: partial 16S ribosomal RNA
Rfam family: Bacterial small subunit ribosomal RNA
Source: RNAcentral